RNAcentral lists this long non-coding RNA (200 nucleotides) under Elaeis guineensis (African oil palm). RNAcentral describes it as "long non-coding RNA (EGUI_LNC013973)". Lineage: Eukaryota; Viridiplantae; Streptophyta; Magnoliopsida; Arecales; Arecaceae. The record is from RNAcentral.
GGUUGUUAGCCACUCACCGGUGGUCAUGGACUUGCCAUGAGAGAUCAUAAAGAGGCUAGGCAAUCCAACCAAGUAUCCUACAUCAUGGGCCAAUGGCGCCGAUGGCCGGAAAAAAAAAAAAAGAUGGUCGUAAAAAUAAAGGAUGCAGAUUUUGAUUGAUUUUCAAUGAAAUCAGCAGCAUUGCUUAAGGCUAUAGGGAA